RNAcentral lists this ribosomal RNA (180 nucleotides) under Lobelia pleotricha. RNAcentral describes it as "5.8S ribosomal RNA". The stretch from base 7 to 162 matches the Rfam family "5.8S ribosomal RNA". Rfam says of the family: 5.8S ribosomal RNA (5.8S rRNA) is a component of the large subunit of the eukaryotic ribosome. It is transcribed by RNA polymerase I as part of the 45S precursor that also contains 18S and 28S rRNA. Lineage: Eukaryota; Viridiplantae; Streptophyta; Magnoliopsida; Asterales; Campanulaceae. The record is from RNAcentral.
AUAACAAUUUUUGAAGAACAUAUAUCCCGGCUCUCGCACCGAUGAAGAACGUAGCUAAAUGCGAUACUUGGUGUGAAUUGCAUAAUCUUGUGAACCAUCUAGUCUUUGAACGCAAGUUGCGCCCGAAGCCGUCAGGCCAAGGGCACGUCUGCCUAGGCAUCACGCAUCGCAUCGCCCCCC